Molecule: long non-coding RNA, 2622 nt
Filed under: Equus caballus (horse)
Lineage: Eukaryota; Metazoa; Chordata; Mammalia; Perissodactyla; Equidae
Description: lncRNA (ENSECAG00000040382.3)
Source: RNAcentral
CGUCUCUUUGCUGGCCUCAGGAUCGCUGUCAUCAGUCAAGGCUGCCGGAGGGUUGUUUUCACGAGUUCUCUCAAAUGCUGCAGGAGCUUAGGAACAGGUGACCUGAACUUGAGACUUCCUGACCUGGUCUCUGAAUGAAAUAAGAGGAGGUGACAGGCUCUGUACCAGCAACUUUUGUGUCCCCUGAGGGUGGGGAUCCUGUGAGGCCGGGGAAGCACAAUUGUCCUGUCCCUGGGCACGAGGCCAGCUGCAGCGAGACAGGUUCACAGGUGGAGGGGUGAUCACGGAAGGGCGUGCCCGGGCUUUGGAAAACUGGAGAAAGUUGGUCCUUGGAUGGGGUGUGGAAAGAACAUGAGCUAUGGGUGGGGAGGAGCCAGGAUGAUUGACAGCUCUGAGCAGUGAAGGAAAAACUGUCUCCCCAAGUAGAGAUCUGAGGUUUCCACAGUACAGUAGGAGCUGAGUCUGUCACAUGGACUGGGUGGUCACCUGGCACAUUCCAGCAAAAGUGCUGCCCCCUGGAAGCCAAGGCCAUCCAUGCAGUUGAGCCAGUGGCCACUACAAGAUUUUGAAUUUUGAGGCAAUGAUUCCACAAAGGGCAUUAUAAACAGUUUGCAUCCACUUGCCUUCCUAGAAAACAGGAGCUGCCUUCGAGAUCUGUUCUGGCAUUGGAAGCAUCCCAAGGUUUCCAGGGUGUGAAUACUGACUUGUCAACCAAAGGGCACGCUCCUCAUUCUCUCAAUGCCUAUCCUGCCUCUUCCAACCCAGGGUUGUGCCACCAUUUUAUCCAUUAAGCCCAGCCCCUGCCUUGUCAGUCCCACCCCAAUACACCAAGGACACUGAACUGGGGUUCUGCAGCAUCUUUGCUGAAAAAAAAUGAAAGGAUAGUUUCAAUCCCAUAGCCCCUGUCAUCACCUCUCAUCACACUCUACUGCCAUGAUCUCCUGAAGCAUGUGAACCUCCGUGACCUCCCUCACAAAUGUCCCCAGGCAUUGCUGAUGUGGCUGCAUAGCAUGGAUGGUCAGGAGACUGUCCAGUGAAUCUUGCAAACUCCUCCUCCCCCAACCUCAGCCAGGAGAUCACUCCUGGGUGAAGUCCUCCCAUCUCAAGCACAGUGAGGCUGUGGGUUGCAGGCUUCAGGACUGGCAUUCCUCUUGGGUAAAGCUUGCCCAUCUGCCACUCAAGAAGACUUUGAAAGUUUGAGUGGGGACCUCAUCUUAUUUACCUUGUCUUCAGUGCCCAGGAUGGUGUAAACAACACCCAGCACAUGUGGUAGGCUGAAUGGAAUGAGCUAACGGAACAGUCAAUGCCCUGACUAGCCCCACUUCCCCCUGAGGAACAGAGCAUUUUGCCUCUCACUAAGUGACUUUCACAAUUCCCCCAUAAGGCCUAGUCUAAGGACACAUAAUUCUUGUCUUGCUGACAGUUCCCAACAGGAUCCUAGAGAGGCUGUUGGUGUGCUAUGGAGAAUACCCCAAACCUCUUCCUUGCCCAUCUCGCUUACAGAGUUGAGCUGCCAGCAGAAGCCAGUCCAGAGCUCGCACUCUGGGCUCAGAGAUCCCCAGUGCCUAUCAGUCUAUUCACCUUCCAGCUCAUGUGAGAACUGUGAAGCCUCCACUUCCUCAAAUACCCACAGCACUGGGCUUUUGCGGGUUGUGAAUGAGAGAAGGCAAUGGUCAGGAAGAUGCUCUGCUCUCCCCGGGAGACAUCACCAAAGACACGAGAGGAAACUCUGGCCCAAGCUCACCUGAUGCUCAGAAUAACAGAAUUGAGACUCUAAGCCAGUGAAGGUGGCUGACCUGGGCCUGUACAGGCCAACUGCUCAUCCCUACUGAUAUUCUCACCUCACCUUUUCAGUGUGGGUGGGAAUAAACUGGGUCCCCUCUUCUCAUAGCACAGAGAGCAGACUUAGCCAUGCUUUCAGGAGGGAGGGCUGCAUGGCCCAGUGGGAGCCCCUAUAUCUGUUCCCUGCUCACCUGGCCUGCCAGCUGCCCUUUUAUCCUCUGGCUUAGGCUGACCUGGAGACAGGAUCCUGCCACUCCCUGACCUUCAUAAAGGCCCUUCAAGUUUGCCGUGUAGUUGGUGAUUAUAUUGUUUGGAUCCUGUGAAUGGAUGUUCUUAAAUUUUUGUAAUUAGCCAUCAUUACUCUUGGGUUUGAUUCCUUCUAAAAAACAUAUCUGGAAGGGAGAAUGUCAUCAGAAUGGGAAGUAGUAAACAUCUGCAUUGAGAGUUAGCAAGAUAAACAAUGGCUUCCUUGUGUGUAUCCUCCACCUCGCCUUGGCCUUUAUUGUACGAGCCCCAGGGAUCCUCGACAAGCCCCGUCCCUCGAGCAUCCCUGGGAGAGUUGGUCCAGUCCAGGCUACAGAUCCCACCUUGGAGCUGACGUCCCCUCACCUCCCCUUUCCCGCCAGACCUCCUGAACUCCAAGCAAAGCAUCCAGCCCGCUCUAAACAUCCCCACAAGGAUGCCCACGGCUCCCAUUGCAGUUGCCUUUCUCCCUGCAGGCGGAAUUGAUCUCCUUCCUCUCAAAUGUACCCUGGCUCCUGUGUUCUGUAUUCUCAUCACUGCUCCCAGUGAGACCCUGGGAGACCUCACUGACCCUCUGUACCCUUCACUUCUGUUCCC